UACAGAGGUCCCAAGCGUUGUUCGGAUUCACUGGGCGUAAAGGGUGCGCAGGUGGCGCUUCAAGUUUGAUGUGAAAGCUUCGGGCUUAACCCGGAAAUGGCACUGAAUACUGGAGUGCUGGAGGUUUGGAGGGGGGACUGGAAUUCUCGGUGUAGCAGUGAAAUGCGUAGAUAUCGAGAGGAACACCAGUGGCGAAGGCGAGUCCCUGGACAACACCUGACACUGAGGCACGAAAGCUAGGGGAGCAAACAGG
RNAcentral lists this ribosomal RNA (253 nucleotides) under uncultured bacterium. RNAcentral's name for it is "partial 16S ribosomal RNA". It matches the Rfam family "Bacterial small subunit ribosomal RNA", at positions 524 to 776 of the family's 1533-position model. The record is from RNAcentral.